This 237-nucleotide long non-coding RNA is filed under the name Elaeis guineensis (African oil palm). RNAcentral describes it as "long non-coding RNA (EGUI_LNC003341)". Lineage: Eukaryota; Viridiplantae; Streptophyta; Magnoliopsida; Arecales; Arecaceae. The record is from RNAcentral.
GAUGGCUGAUAUGCAUGUCCUUGUAGAUUAUAUGCAAGCCAAAUCUUAAAGAGGAAGACAUGUUGCUCAUUACCAAGUCUUACACAUAGUUUUGGGUCUCCUUCAAAUGGAUUGUGGAUGUCUGGUGAAAUUUCAAUUACCAAAUGAAUACUCUGCUUAUGCUUAUCCUAAUCGAUAUCAUCAUUUGAGGGGCUUUCUUGUAAGACUGAAUUUUCAACUGAAUUCCUGAGUUAGUGA